AUUGAACGCUGGCGGCAGGCCUAACACAUGCAAGUCGAGCGGAUGAAGGGAGCUUGCUCCUGGAUUCAGCGGCGGACGGGUGAGUAAUGCCUAGGAAUCUGCCUGGUAGUGGGGGAUAACGUCCGGAAACGGGCGCUAAUACCGCAUACGUCCUGAGGGAGAAAGUGGGGGAGCUUCGGACCUCACGCUAUCAGAUGAGCCUAGGUCGGAUUAGCUAGUUGGUGGGGUAAAGGCCUACCAAGGCGACGAUCCGUAACUGGUCUGAGAGGAUGAUCAGUCACACUGGAACUGAGACACGGUCCAGACUCCUACGGGAGGCAGCAGUGGGGAAUAUUGGACAAUGGGCGAAAGCCUGAUCCAGCCAUGCCGCGUGUGUGAAGAAGGUCUUCGGAUUGUAAAGCACUUUAAGUUGUGAGGAAGGGCAGUAAGUUAAUACCUUGCUGUUUUGACGUUACCAACAGAAUAAGCACCGGCUAACUUCGUG
RNAcentral lists this ribosomal RNA (484 nucleotides) under uncultured bacterium. RNAcentral's name for it is "partial 16S ribosomal RNA". It matches the Rfam family "Bacterial small subunit ribosomal RNA", at positions 30 to 507 of the family's 1533-position model. The record is from RNAcentral.